GAAGUAUGUAUUUAUGGGUGUUUGCCUUGAAGUUAACAUGUGGUUAUAAAUUAGGCUUGAAUGACAUUUUGGGAUUGUAGUGGAAGGUCGCAAUAUGCAUUAGCGACUUCAUAUUAAGAGUUCAGAGUAGUCAUUGAAGUGGUAAGACAUGUUAUGCUUAGAAUGUGAUCUUUAAAAGAGGUAUAGAAGGUGGCAUCAUAUGGUUUAGAAUAAUAGUGUGGUGUAGCAUGUUGUAUUUUUGUGACUUAGAGUUAGGCUUGAUCGCGGAGUACGGAUUAAGCUAUUUUAGAC
RNAcentral lists this long non-coding RNA (291 nucleotides) under Capsicum annuum. RNAcentral's name for it is "long non-coding RNA (CANN_LNC005912)". The record is from RNAcentral. Lineage: Eukaryota; Viridiplantae; Streptophyta; Magnoliopsida; Solanales; Solanaceae.